GGAGGGAUGGCAGAGCGGUUGAAUGCGGCAGUCUUGAAAACUGUUAACCGAGCAAUCGGUUCGUGGGUUCAAAUCCCACUCCCUCCGCCA
This 90-nucleotide transfer RNA is filed under the name bacterium. RNAcentral's name for it is "tRNA-Ser". It matches the Rfam family "tRNA". Rfam says of the family: Transfer RNA (tRNA) molecules are approximately 80 nucleotides in length. Their secondary structure includes four short double-helical elements and three loops (D, anti-codon, and T loops). Further hydrogen bonds mediate the characteristic L-shaped molecular structure. tRNAs have two regions of fundamental functional importance: the anti-codon, which is responsible for specific mRNA codon recognition, and the 3' end, to which the tRNAs corresponding amino acid is attached (by aminoacyl-tRNA synthetases). tRNAs cope with the degeneracy of the genetic code in two manners: having more than one tRNA (with a specific anti-codon) for a particular amino acid; and 'wobble' base-pairing, i.e. permitting non-standard base-pairing at the 3rd anti-codon position. The record is from RNAcentral. RNAcentral also lists the same sequence under 3 other names.